Molecule: long non-coding RNA, 889 nt
Organism: Ceratitis capitata (Mediterranean fruit fly)
Lineage: Eukaryota; Metazoa; Arthropoda; Insecta; Diptera; Tephritidae
Exons: 2
Source: RefSeq, a predicted model, not a curated record
GUUGUUAAUUGAUUCGUUUUCUUUCAUUUCAUCAGCUGUUAAAUUUGUUGCCGAUGGAAACUGAACAUUUUGUAAACUGAAUUGGGAAUUAAUUCUAAUUUGCAAUAUUGUUUAAAUAGAUUAAAGUUUAUUAUAUCGGUUUAUGACAUGAAAAGAAUCGGCGAAUAUUAUCUUUUACAGCUGGGGAGAAAAGAUUAAGGACUUUAUAUGAUUUUCAAACAAAUUUGUUGACGUAUCUAAACAAAUAAGGAAUGUUCAUGGCAAAUAUCGAUUGGAACCAUGAUUGGAGGUUUUUUUUUACCAUAUUGACAAAACGAAACUAUGCAGACGUUUGUGCGUGAAAGAAAUACAAUCUUAUAUUGCUUGAGACACGGAAGUAUUCUAAUAACAAGGUGCACAAGAAAACUCUAAGAGUUCACAAAUUUCUACCAAUAUGGGGCAGCGAAGUCGUAAUCAUCAUUGAACACUUAUAAUUUAUUUAUUUGAAAGGUACAUGCCAAAUAAGUACGUUGAUGUCAUUAAUUUGGUAAAGCACAUCUUUUGGUUUUCAAAUUUCAUGUAGGACUGGUCAACAUGCUUGACCUCACUGUGUAAUACACAUUUCUCUAUAUUGCAGUUGAAUUGUUGUUGAAGUUAUUCGGUAAAUUUUGGAGUCCCAUAUUGUUAUUUAAAGUACCAAGUUAAAUAAAAACAAUUUGGUUAGACAAGCUAAAAUGACUUCCGGACGUGAUUAAAUUAGUUAAAGAUUAACAAAUUUACAAAAACGAUGAAAUUUUCGUUUCAGAAGUUAAAUUAGAGACGAAUGAAAUAAAAUUAUCAGUUUACAUAACGGAAAAUCAUUCGAAUGUAUAUGAUCCUGUACACCAUUAAACAAUAUUGUGUAAAUAAA